AGAGUUUGAUCAUGGCUCAGAUUGAACGCUGGCGGCAGGCCUAACACAUGCAAGUCGAGCGGUAGCACAGAGAGCUUGCUCUCGGGUGACGAGCGGCGGACGGGUGAGUAAUGUCUGGGAAACUGCCUGAUGGAGGGGGAUAACUACUGGAAACGGUAGCUAAUACCGCAUAAUGUCGCAAGACCAAAGUGGGGGACCUUCGGGCCUCAUGCCAUCAGAUGUGCCCAGAUGGGAUUAGCUAGUAGGUGGGGUAAUGGCUCACCUAGGCGACGAUCCCUAGCUGGUCUGAGAGGAUGACCAGCCACACUGGAACUGAGACACGGUCCAGACUCCUACGGGAGGCAGCAGUGGGGAAUAUUGCACAAUGGGCGCAAGCCUGAUGCAGCCAUGCCGCGUGUGUGAAGAAGGCCUUCGGGUUGUAAAGCACUUUCAGCGGGGAGGAAGGCGGUGAGGUUAAUAACCUCAUCGAUUGACGUUACCCGCAGAAGAAGCACCGGCUAACUCCGUGCCAGCAGCCGCGGUAAUACGGAGGGUGCAAGCGUUAAUCGGAAUUACUGGGCGUAAAGCGCACGCAGGCGGUCUGUCAAGUCGGAUGUGAAAUCCCCGGGCUCAACCUGGGAACUGCAUUCGAAACUGGCAGGCUAGAGUCUUGUAGAGGGGGGUAGAAUUCCAGGUGUAGCGGUGAAAUGCGUAGAGAUCUGGAGGAAUACCGGUGGCGAAGGCGGCCCCCUGGACAAAGACUGACGCUCAGGUGCGAAAGCGUGGGGAGCAAACAGGAUUAGAUACCCUGGUAGUCCACGCCGUAAACGAUGUCGAUUUGGAGGUUGUGCCCUUGAGGUGUGGCUUCCGGAGCUAACGCGUUAAAUCGACCGCCUGGGGAGUACGGCCGCAAGGUUAAAACUCAAAUGAAUUGACGGGGGCCCGCACAAGCGGUGGAGCAUGUGGUUUAAUUCGAUGCAACGCGAAGAACCUUACCUGGUCUUGACAUCCACAGAACUUUCCAGAGAUGGAUUGGUGCCUUCGGGAACUGUGAGACAGGUGCUGCAUGGCUGUCGUCAGCUCGUGUUGUGAAAUGUUGGGUUAAGUCCCGCAACGAGCGCAACCCUUAUCCUUUGUUGCCAGCGGUCCGGCCGGGAACUCAAAGGAGACUGCCAGUGAUAAACUGGAGGAAGGUGGGGAUGACGUCAAGUCAUCAUGGCCCUUACGACCAGGGCUACACACGUGCUACAAUGGCAUAUACAAAGAGAAGCGACCUCGCGAGAGCAAGCGGACCUCAUAAAGUAUGUCGUAGUCCGGAUUGGAGUCUGCAACUCGACUCCAUGAAGUCGGAAUCGCUAGUAAUCGUAGAUCAGAAUGCUACGGUGAAUACGUUCCCGGGCCUUGUACACACCGCCCGUCACACCAUGGGAGUGGGUUGCAAAAGAAGUAGGUAGCUUAACCUUCGGGAGGGCGCUUACCACUUUGUGAUUCAUGACUGGGGUGAAGUCGUAACAAGGUAACCGUAGGGGAACCUGCGGUUGGAUCACCU
RNAcentral lists this ribosomal RNA (1528 nucleotides) under Klebsiella pneumoniae BIDMC 52. Its description in RNAcentral is "bacterial SSU rRNA". It matches the Rfam family "Bacterial small subunit ribosomal RNA". The record is from RNAcentral. Lineage: Bacteria; Pseudomonadati; Pseudomonadota; Gammaproteobacteria; Enterobacterales; Enterobacteriaceae.